UAGCAUAAUAAAUAGUCUUUUAAUUGUAGUCUAGUAUGAAUGGUCGGACAUGAGGCAAGCUGUUUUAAUUUUGAUAUUUGAAUUUUACUUUUAAGUGAAAAGGCUUAGAUUAAAUGGUGGGACGAUAAGACCCUAUAAAGCUUUACGUUUUAUUUUUCAGUUGAGGGAUUUAAGGUUUCUUAUUCUUAUUAAGUGAAGCGUUUCGUUGGGGCGACGGGAAUAUAAAUGAGUAACUGUUUUUAUUUAAAAAAUAUGUUUUUAUAGGUGAAUUGAUCCUUUUUAGAGAUUACAAGAUUUAAGUUACUUUAGGGAUAACAGCGUAAUUUAUCUUGAGAGUUCAUAUCGACAGAUAUAGUUGCGACCUCGAUGUUGAAUUAAAAUAUCCUCCAGGUGUAGCAGUUUUGGUGGUAGGUCUGUUCGACCUUUAAAA
Molecule: ribosomal RNA, 430 nt
Filed under: Caridina sp. NTnilotica
Lineage: Eukaryota; Metazoa; Arthropoda; Malacostraca; Decapoda; Atyidae
Description: partial 16S ribosomal RNA
Rfam family: Bacterial large subunit ribosomal RNA
Source: RNAcentral